This 107-nucleotide small nuclear RNA is filed under the name Mandrillus leucophaeus (drill). Lineage: Eukaryota; Metazoa; Chordata; Mammalia; Primates; Cercopithecidae. The record is from RNAcentral.
GUGCUCGCUUUGGCAGCACAGAUACUAAAAUUGGAACGAUACAGAGAAAAUUAGCACAGUCCCUGGUCAAGGAUGACACGCAAAUUCGUGAAGCAUUCCAUAUUUUU